UCGGAAUGACUGGGCGUAAAGGGCGCGUAGGCGGCUUACAUAGUUAGGCGUGAAAUUCCUGGGCUCAACCUGGGGACUGCGUCUAAUACAUGUAGGCUUGAGUGUGAAAGAGGGUCGUGGAAUUUCCAGUGUAGAGGUGAAAUUCGUAGAUAUUGGAAAGAACACCGGUGGCGAAGGCGGCGACCUGGUUCAUUACUGACGCUGAGGCGCGAAAGCGUGGGGAGCAAACAGGAUUAGAUACCCUGGUAGUCCACGCUGUAAACGAUGUGUGCUGGAUGUUGGGGUGCUUAGCACUUCAGUGUCGUAGCUAACGCGGUAAGCACACCGCCU
This 330-nucleotide ribosomal RNA is filed under the name uncultured Acidiphilium sp. RNAcentral's name for it is "bacterial SSU rRNA". It matches the Rfam family "Bacterial small subunit ribosomal RNA", at positions 545 to 874 of the family's 1533-position model. Lineage: Bacteria; Pseudomonadati; Pseudomonadota; Alphaproteobacteria; Acetobacterales; Acidocellaceae. The record is from RNAcentral.